AGUUUGAUCAUGGCUCAGAACGACGCUGGCGGCAUGCCUAACACAUGCAAGUCGAACGAGACUUCGGUCUAGUGGCGGACGGGUGAGUAACGCGUAGGAACCUGCCAAGCAGUGGGGAAUAACAGCUGGAAACGGCUGCUAAUACCGCAUACGCCCUUCGGGGGAAAGAUUUAUCGCUGUUUGAGGGUCCUGCGUUCGAUUAGCUAGUUGGUGAGGUAAAGGCUCAUCAAGGCGACGAUCUGUAGCGGGUCUGAGAGGAUGAUCCGCCACACUGGAACUGAGACACGGUCCAGACUCCUACGGGAGGCAGCAGUGGGGAAUUUUGGACAAUGGGCGCAAGCCUGAUCCAGCCAUGCCGCGUGAGUGAAGAAGGCCUUCGGGUUGUAAAGCUCUUUCGGCCGGGAAGAAAUCGCACAGGUUAAUACCCUGUGUGGAUGACGGUACCGGAAUAAGAAGCACCGGCUAACUACGUG
Molecule: ribosomal RNA, 473 nt
Filed under: uncultured bacterium
Lineage: Bacteria
Description: bacterial SSU rRNA
Rfam family: Bacterial small subunit ribosomal RNA
Source: RNAcentral